UUCAAAAAGAAUUCAAGAGGCUAAAAUAAAAUAGAAAAGGAACCCCCAAUCAACAGAAUCAGAUGCCAUCAUUAAAUCUUCAAUCUUCGUACCUUAAACAAGUUAUAGACCAAGAGAUCAAGAUCGACGGAGAAGUGUAGAGAAUUGGCAGAAUACUUAAACAUGAAAAUUUAUCAGAAACAACCAGCAACAACAAUACACCUUUACCACUUUUAUUACAGAAUCUAAUAACUGAUCACUUUUUACUAUAUGUACAGUAGAACCAACAGCAUGACCUAGAGCCAAGACACGUCACCAUAUGAUGAGGAAAUAGUAGAUUGUGCUGUUCUUAAGGUGGAAAAUUGGGUAACAAUAACUUACAUGAGUUAUAGCAGCCUACCUGUUUUGAGGAAAGACCACCACAGCACUGCUGAGCUGAAAAUGAUAUUUCUAUUGAAAUUCCCAUUUUGAGAAUCUCCUCAUAGAAACACAGUAUAAUUUUUCCAUCUGAUACCAGAUCCAUUAGCAUGCUUACUGUGGAUGAAUACUAGAUCUGCUAUCAACCAUUUCGUUGAGAUCUUGUACAACACAUGAUGUGCAGUUUUUGAGAAGAAAUCCUUUUGAGAACAAUGUUAUAACAUCUUAAUCAAUGGGCACUGUAAGAGUGAAAUAUCAAGAGUCUAUUUGGUCGCACAUUUCAGCUAGGAGAGUUAUUGCUUCAUGGAUCCCUCUACUCUUACAAUGGCCAUUGAUCAAGAUGUUAUGACUAUGAAAGCCAGAAGCGCAACCUUGGUUGACCAUUAUAUUUUAACUAAAUAUACUUUUCUUCCAUACAAUCCACCCUAAUAACCAGCCAAAUUUCACCACGGAUCAGCUAGGGUUCAAGCCAACCAUCUGACUGAAUGAUAUAAAGUCAUCUAAGACUGUUGUAAUUGGUAUUACCACCAAACACACCGUUUUUUUAUAGCAAAAACAAAAACACUUAAAUAUAAUGCUAGAUGCAGAAGCAGGGUAUGAGAAUUUAGAACUGGAAGAUUGAACAGUAAAAAUAAAAACAGGAAAGUUUGCAAUACCCAUUUGUUGUUGAAGGUGAAAAGUGGCUGCAGAAGCCCUAAAAAGGCUUUUCGCCCAAUCAUCUCAUCUACAAAGGUCGCUCUCAUUGUUUCUCUCCAGAUCACUGCAAUUUGCUCCAUUUUGAGUAUCUCGUUUUUAAACAGGAAAAGGAGGCCCUCCCCAUGGGCCCCGUGAGCUCAUGACGAAACAAAACCCUAAAAGGCCCAAAAAGGCUCUCAACUCUCAAGUUCACCAGCGUCCCAGAUCAAUACCAGAGAACUAUAUGUUAUUUCACGCAGGUCCGAGAAUCUAAAACUGGACAAUUACCUUCUCUACUAAAAGAUCUGGGGUUUGUGAUGGUGCUUCACUACCUCCCAUUCAAACAGGUGUCUUUUUAUUUUACUCCCCAAGAUCAAACAGGUGUCCUUUUGUUUUAAUCCCCCAGAUCAGGAAAUAAUCCCAGCAAUUCAUCAAAACAAAAUCAAAACUACUUAUUAAUAAAAGCAUGAAACAAAUUAAAACUUAAUUAUAAGAAAAACCCAUAAAUCAAAUUAAACUAAAAUCCCCAGAUAAAGAAGUGUGUUUUUGUUUUAAUCCCCAGAUCAUGCAAUAAUCACAGCAAUUUAUCGAACUCAAAAUCAAAACUACUCACUAAUAAAAGCAUGAAACAAAUUAAAACCCAAUUAACCAAAUCACCAAACAUGAAAACCCCACGAAUAAAAUUAGAUUGAAAGAAAAUGCAAAAAACAAAUAUUAAAUCUCCCAUAUCCUAUUAUUUCAUCUGCUCAAGAAUCCCCAUAGAUUCAAUCAUUCGACAGACACCAUGGACAAAAUUCAAAGAGUCCAAGAGACUGACACUAUCAAAACACACACCCAACAAAUAUGCUUAAAAGAAAUCAUAAUUACACAAGUAAUAAAAAAGUGGGUGUUAUUGCAAAUCCAAUAGAGAAGCUUAGAUCAUCUCCAAACUAGAAAAA
Molecule: long non-coding RNA, 2009 nt
Organism: Populus euphratica (Euphrates poplar)
Lineage: Eukaryota; Viridiplantae; Streptophyta; Magnoliopsida; Malpighiales; Salicaceae
Exons: 2
Source: RefSeq, a predicted model, not a curated record